UAGGAAAUCUGACGUGCUGAGCUGAAGGUUUGCACCAUGUUUGCUGAUGUGGCUGUUUUAAGAUGAGACGAAAUGUGUUGAACUACUCAAAUAUAUUACCAGGAAGAGAUUAAAGGUGCUGUAUACUGUGACCUGACUCGUUCUUGAUCACUUCAAUAUGCAGCCAGCAGGCUUCGGUCUGGAAAAGUGUCUCCUAGUGGAAAUGUUCCCUGGAUGUGACGUGAUUUAGCACUUUCUUUGGGGAGACGGAGCUGGUGAACUUUGUGCGCUCUAGGGCAAAGUCUCACAUGUGGAGCUCCAGCAAAACCACAGAGACCCUGACCGAUGCACACAACUAUGCCUUUCUUUUUCAUGCGCUUUAUAAUAAUAACUCUAUGAAAAUCAUUUCCUGACAGUUAAUUGCUAGCAGGAACAUUUCUCAGACAAAGGCUGGAUUAUGGGUCAUUAGAUGUACAGUAUCGUAUUAAAGAACUUUAACCACAAACUUUAUGAAAUGUCAAAGUGUGAAGAGAUUUGAUGCCUUAUUUUUGUUUCAGACAAUGAAUUGGACAUUAAAUCAUUGGAUG
Danio aesculapii is the source of this 566-nucleotide long non-coding RNA. RefSeq lists it as uncharacterized. Lineage: Eukaryota; Metazoa; Chordata; Actinopteri; Cypriniformes; Danionidae. The record is from RefSeq and is a predicted model, not a curated record. The transcript is spliced from 3 exons.